CCUACGGGAGGCAGCAGUGGGGAAUAUUGGACAAUGGGGGGAACCCUGAUCCAGCGACGCCGCGUGAGUGAAGAAGUAUUUCGGUAUUUAAAGCUCUAUCAGCAGGGAAGAAAAUGACGGUACCUGACUAAGAUGCCCCGGCUAACUACGUUCCAGCAGCCGCGGUAAUACGUAGGGGGCCAGCGUUAUCCGGAUUUACUGGGUGUAAAGGGAGCGUAGACGGUUCAGCAAGUCUGGUGUGAAAGGUCGGGGCCCAACCAUGGGACUGCAGUGGAAACUGUUGAACUGGAGUACAGGAGAGGUAAGCGGAAGUCCUGGUGUAGCGGUGAAAUGCGUAGAUAUUAGGAGGAACACCGGUGGCGAAGGCGGCUUACUGGACUGUAACUGACGUUGAGGCUCGAAAGCGCGGGGAGCAAACAGGAUUAGAUACCCUAGUAGUC
Molecule: ribosomal RNA, 440 nt
Filed under: uncultured bacterium
Lineage: Bacteria
Description: partial 16S ribosomal RNA
Rfam family: Bacterial small subunit ribosomal RNA
Source: RNAcentral